GAUGAACGCUGGCGGCGUGCCUAAUACAUGCAAGUCGAGCGAACAGACGAGGAGCUUUCUCCUCUGACGUUAGCGGCGGACGGGGGAGUAAAACGUGGAUAACCCACCUAUAAGACUGGGAUAACUUCGGGAAACCGGAGCUAAUACAGGAUAAUAUAUUGAACCUCAUGGUUCAAUAGUGAAAGACGGUUUUGCUGUCACAUAUAGAUGGAUCCGCGCCGCAUUAGCUAGUUGGUAAGGUAACGGCCUACCAAGGCGACGAUGCGUAGCCGACCUGAGAGGGUGAUCGGCCACACUGGAACUGAGACACGGUCCAGACUCCUACGGGAGGCAGCAGUAGGGAAUCUUCCGCAAUGGGCGAAAGCUUGACGGAGCAACGCCGCGUGAGUGAUGAAGGUCUUCGGAUCGUAAAACUCUGUUAUUAGGGAAGAACAAAUGUGUAAGUAACUAUGCACGUCUUGACGGUACCUAAUCAGAAAGCCACGGCUAACUACGUG
This 497-nucleotide ribosomal RNA is filed under the name uncultured bacterium. RNAcentral describes it as "partial 16S ribosomal RNA". It matches the Rfam family "Bacterial small subunit ribosomal RNA", at positions 28 to 507 of the family's 1533-position model. The record is from RNAcentral.